UUUUCAGUUUUCAGUGCUUCUCUUCUUUGGCUCCUGCCUGCUCUAGGACCAACCAAACAAGCACAUUUAUCUUUGCCUCCUGGAACACUCGGGAUAUUUCCCUUCGUGCAUCCCAGGGCCCUACACGUGGUGGGAUGGGAGCUCUCCCCAGCACAUCUGGCUUCUGUUGUAGGUUGGUCUGGGAACCUGACACCAGCUGGAGCGACACAAAACGUACUGGGAGCCGUCCUUAAUGCAUCAACUCUGUGUGUCUCCAUUUCCUGCUUCAAGGCAUGGAUCUCCUGUUUGGUAUCUUUUCCAGCAGUUCCCACAGCGUGUUUGACACUGUAACCAACAGUGCUCACACCUCCAAGACCAGGGAAAGCACACAAGCAGCGUGUCAAAUUGCUUACCCGGAGCGCCCCUAAAGGAUCCCAUCAGAACGGAGUCAAUCUGCAAGGCGUGGAGCAAUCCCUCUCUGCCUGUAGGAGCACACACAAGCCACGUUUCACUGGGGACUCUCCAGUUCUGCAGUUCUUUGCUUCUUCCUAUUUUCCUGUCAUUUUGAAAACAUAGCAGCUGCCAAAAAAGAAUUAUUUUCUUUUUAAAGAAGGAAAAAAAGAGAAUGAAAGAAUGUGGCCCAUUGUUUCCUUUAUCUGUUCAGGGAACAAGCCUCAUUGAUUGGAUGCCAGGAAGGGGAUAAUGCAAUCUCCCAUUGGGCCUGUUUGCAUCUUCUGCCAGGCUGACAGUUAAAGGCUACAGAUGGCCUUUGACAACUGACAACACUCACUGUUAUGCCAGUGCAUGACUUCAUCUGUGUGACACUGCAUGUGACUGCAGCUUGCUUCCUCUUUGCUUGCAGGAACUAUUCUCCAUUUCAGGAGCACCAGAAGAGCAGAGGAAGUUCCCCUUGCCAGAACCAGAAGCCUAAAAAUGCCUUCCAGUAUUGUUGGAAUAUUGUUGUUUGCUUGGGGCUUUAACCACCAAGUCUGAAGUUCAGAGGCCAAAUUUGGUAAAGCUUCAAUCCUUUUUUGAAUGGACAAUUUUCAAUACUGGUAAGGCCCACGUGGACAUUUCAGAGUGUCCCACACUCCAGAGUGCUUCCCAAAGGGACACCAAGCCUGCAGCUUGUGCUGGAGGUGCAAAGGCUGCAGACCUGUGCUGGAAUUCAGAGGAGUUUUUGUUUUCUGUGAAUCUUGGCAAGCUCAGGGGAUGCUGCAAGUUGAAUGAAUGAAGUCAUCCAUCAUCUAGCAGUAACUGGAGUAGGUUGAACUCAUUCCCGUUCUGUUUUUUGCUUCAGAAGCAGGAAAAAAUGAAUGCUUAUAUUCUAGACUUUUCUUUUUGCCACUUUUAAACACAGGUCACAAUUUGAAUUAUGAAUAAGCUGUUAGAGGACAAGUGGAGCUCAGCAGUGAGGAGUUGUUGGUGUUGUUUUCCACUUGGUUUCAAGUUCUGCACACAAAGCUAGAGCAGGUUGCUGAGAAACCCUGUCAUCUGCAAACAAAGGCAGCUCCUGCAGGAUGGAGUGUGUGCAGAAUGUAAAGAGGGAGGUGUCUGUAGGCAGCCUACAGAAGAUUGCCACGUUGCUGCCAUGCACACAAAAAGUUCCUGACUUUUGGUACCAGGCUCACCACCCUGACAGGCAACCUGGUACACUGAAGGUCCAAUGGAACUGAUGGUCCUUAUGUUCCUCAAGAGUGAGAGGUAUUAUGGCCAAACUGACACGGGAAGGUUUUUGCAUCAUGUUUUGGUUAAAACUUCCAUUCCCAUCGGAGGAAGGCGCUGGCUGACUCCGCUUCCCGCCCCAGGGGAAUGGAUGUGCCUGCGGUGAUCGGCGCGGUGCCCAGGGAACGGGAUCGGGAUCGGGACGGCACCUCACGGUUCCCGGCCCCGCAGUGCGGCGGCGCCCGGGAUGGCCCGGGAUCCUUCGGUCACAUCCAGGGUGAGAGAGGCCGGGCUGGGGCGGAUCGGUGCCCUGCGCCAUCCGGGAGCCCAGCCAUCCCUUUCUCUUUCUGGAAAUCGCUGAGGGUUCCUGGCCGCUGUUUAAAAUAACAAAAAAAGAGAAUGACACUACUCCAGCAGAGGAGAGCGGUGAAUCACGCCGUGCGCUCCCGGGCUGUCUGUCACGGGGGGAUGGAGGGGCCCCGGGCCGU
Molecule: non-coding RNA, 2132 nt
Organism: Zonotrichia albicollis (white-throated sparrow)
Lineage: Eukaryota; Metazoa; Chordata; Aves; Passeriformes; Passerellidae
Source: RefSeq, a predicted model, not a curated record